Molecule: long non-coding RNA, 542 nt
Organism: Oncorhynchus keta (chum salmon)
Lineage: Eukaryota; Metazoa; Chordata; Actinopteri; Salmoniformes; Salmonidae
Exons: 3
Source: RefSeq, a predicted model, not a curated record
UGGAGUAGAACACCUGUUUAGGAGAGGUGCUGGCUAGUGGAGUAGAACACCUGUUUAGGAGAGGUGCUGGCUAGUGGAGUAGAACCCCUGUUUUGGAGAGGUGCUGGCUAGUGGAGUAGAACCCCUGUUUUGGAGAGGUGCUGGCUAGUGGAGUAGAACCCCUGUUCAGGAGAGGUGCUGGCUAGUGGAGUAGAACCCCUGUUUAGGAGAGGUGCUGGCUAGUGGAGUAGAACCCCUGUUUAGGAGAGGUGCUGGCUAGUGGAGUAGAACCCCUGUUUAGGAGAGGUGCUGGCUAGUGGAGUAGAACCCCUGUUUAGGAGAGGUGCUGGCUAGCGGAGUAGAACACCUGUUUAUGAGAGGUGCUGGCUAGUGGAGUAGAACCCCUGUUUAGGAUAGGUGCUGGCUAGCGGAGUAGAACACCUGUUUAGGAGAGGUGCUGGCUAGUGGAGUAGAACCCCUGUUUAGGAGAGGUGCUGGCUCGUGGAGUAGAACCCCUGCUUAGGAGAGGUGCUGGCUCGUGGAGUAGAACACCUGUUUAGGAG